UAAUUAUCAAGUUAAAAUGUCAAAGUUGAGUAAAAAAUAUAUAAGUAUCAAAAUGAAUUUAGCUGCCAAGUUUAGGGGCCAAAAAUUAUUGUAAGGCCCAAAUUUUACCCGGGGCCCAAUAAAACCAAACCUAAUUUCAACCUUAGCCCGAGCCCAAAUAAAAAAAAAUCUAAAAAAAUAAUAAAACAGUCCAAUUAAUAAUACAUGGCCCAAAUUAAAAUCCCCAUCAGCCCACAACCUAAACUAACCCUACCAGCCCAAAAUCUCAAAAAUUUUCAGCAGACUACAAACUCAACCCCCACGUCAGCACUCUAGACAGGAUCCCCCUAUACCCCGCUCCAUGUCCAUGUUUCUUCAACACCUACAAUUGGAGCAAAGAAAUAGGUAGAAAAUGUAUGGUUUUUGGCUAUAAAGCCUUCAAUUUUUCAUAGUAAAGGGGAUCCAAAAAUUGUAUCACUCGCGUAUUUUUCAAGGAAUCAAACAAAAAACACACAGAAGGUUGAUCUCCGAUUUUGUUCUCUUUAUUUUCGUUUUUCGUUUUCUUGCUUCUUUAAUAUUUCUUUUAUUUUUUAUACAAAUCUAUUAAACAAAGAUACAAAAAAGAAAAAAAUAAAAGGAAAGAGGAAGGAUUCUCACCAAAUUCGGCCCCGUCGCCGCGUUAUCGGAGCCUUCCCCUCCGUUCGGCGUGGUUGAGUCUAAAAAGGGGGUUGAACCCUUGUCUUUUCGUUUUUGGAGCUAGCCUCCAACAAGUAAAAAAUGGGAGAGCUAAAGGAGCCCAUUUUGGUGUAUCGUCGGCCACCGAGUGCGGUGGUGGCGCGACGGUUGAAGGGCGGCAAUGAUGGGUUUCUUUGAAACCCUAGCAGAAAAUAAAAGAGAAGGAAAAGGGGGAGAGAGCAAGGAAGCUCUCUGUUCUUUUUGUUUAAAGUUUGUUCUUUUUGUUUAAAGUUGGGGGAAGCUGGUAAUGGAAUAAUAAAAUAAAAAAUAAAAAAAGGGGAAAGUUGGUAAUGGAAUAAAAAAAGGAAAGUUUUUUUUUUUUGGUUUAAAU
This 1045-nucleotide long non-coding RNA is filed under the name Gossypium barbadense (sea-island cotton). RNAcentral describes it as "long non-coding RNA (GBAR_LNC007705)". The record is from RNAcentral. Lineage: Eukaryota; Viridiplantae; Streptophyta; Magnoliopsida; Malvales; Malvaceae.